Molecule: ribosomal RNA, 301 nt
Filed under: uncultured bacterium
Lineage: Bacteria
Description: partial 16S ribosomal RNA
Rfam family: Bacterial small subunit ribosomal RNA
Source: RNAcentral
CAGUAGCCGCGGGAAUACAGAGGGUGCAAGCGUUAAUCGGAUUUACUGGGCGUAAAGCGUGCGUAGGCGGCUUCUUAAGUCGGAUGUGAAAUCCCUGAGCUUAACUUAGGAAUUGCAUUCGAUACUGGGAAGCUAGAGUAUGGGAGAGGAUGGUAGAAUUCCAGGUGUAGCGGUGAAAUGCGUAGAGAUCUGGAGGAAUACCGAUGGCGAAGGCAGCCAUCUGGCCUAAUACUGACGCUGAGGUACGAAAGCACGGGGAGCAAACAGGAUUAGAGACCCCCGUAGUCCCUGUCUCUUAUAC